Molecule: non-coding RNA, 83 nt
Filed under: uncultured Tetragenococcus sp.
Lineage: Bacteria; Bacillati; Bacillota; Bacilli; Lactobacillales; Enterococcaceae
Description: Purine riboswitch
Rfam family: Purine riboswitch aptamer (bases 15-77)
About the family: Riboswitches are metabolite binding domains within certain messenger RNAs that serve as precision sensors for their corresponding targets. Allosteric rearrangement of mRNA structure is mediated by ligand binding, and this results in modulation of gene expression.
Source: RNAcentral
AUAAUUAGUCAUUGCUUAUAUAUCGUUGUAAUUUGGUCGACGGUUUCUACCCAAUACCGUAAAUAUUGGACUAUAAGUCAAGA